This 88-nucleotide transfer RNA is filed under the name Candidatus Levybacteria bacterium RIFCSPLOWO2_01_FULL_39_10. Its description in RNAcentral is "tRNA-Leu". It matches the Rfam family "tRNA". From Rfam's summary of the family: Transfer RNA (tRNA) molecules are approximately 80 nucleotides in length. Their secondary structure includes four short double-helical elements and three loops (D, anti-codon, and T loops). Further hydrogen bonds mediate the characteristic L-shaped molecular structure. tRNAs have two regions of fundamental functional importance: the anti-codon, which is responsible for specific mRNA codon recognition, and the 3' end, to which the tRNAs corresponding amino acid is attached (by aminoacyl-tRNA synthetases). tRNAs cope with the degeneracy of the genetic code in two manners: having more than one tRNA (with a specific anti-codon) for a particular amino acid; and 'wobble' base-pairing, i.e. permitting non-standard base-pairing at the 3rd anti-codon position. The record is from RNAcentral. RNAcentral also lists the same sequence under 1 other name. Lineage: Bacteria; Candidatus Levyibacteriota.
GCCGAGGUGGCGGAAUGGUAGACGUACAGGACUUAAAAUCCUGUGACCCGUUUGGGUCGUGCGGGUUCGAGUCCCGCCCUCGGCACCG